This 373-nucleotide ribosomal RNA is filed under the name uncultured organism. RNAcentral describes it as "partial 16S ribosomal RNA". It matches the Rfam family "Bacterial small subunit ribosomal RNA", at positions 527 to 897 of the family's 1533-position model. The record is from RNAcentral.
GGAGGGUGCAAGCGUUGUUCGGAAUUACUGGGCGUAAAGCGCGUGUAGGCGGCUUUUUAUGUCGGGUGUGAAAGCCCUGGGCCCAACCCAGGAAGUGCGCCCGAAACUGAAAAGCUUGAGUACGAGAGAGGAGGACGGAAUUCCUAGUGUAGAGGUGAAAUUCGUAGAUAUUAGGAAGAACACCGGUGGCGAAAGCGGUUCUCUGGAUCGAUACUGACGCUAAGACGCGAAAGCGUGGGGAGCAAACAGGAUUAGAUACCCUGGUAGUCCACGCCGUAAACGAUGGAUACUAGUUGUUGCGGGUCUUUUAAACUCGCAGUGACGACGCUAACGCAUUAAGUAUCCCGCCUGGGGAGUACGGCCGCAAGGUUAA